GACGAACGCUGGCGGCGUGCUUAACACAUGCAAGUCGAACGGAAAGGCCCUGCUUUUGUGACGUGCUCGGGAGGCGAACGGAUGAGUAACACGUACAUACCCUGCCGUUGGCUAUGGGAUAGCUUCAGGAACCUGUGCCUAAUACCGUCUAGGAGCUAAUGCUGCAUGGUGGGGGUUGGAAAGUUUCGGUGGUUGGGGAUGGACUCGCGGUUUAUCAGCUUCUUGGUGGGGUAGUGGCAUACCAAGGCUAUGACGGGUAGCCGACCUGAGAGGUUGACCUGCCACAUUGGGCCUGAGAUACGGCACAGACUCGUACGGGACGCAGAAGUGGAGAAUAGUACACAAUAGGCGGAAGCCUGAUGUAGCAACGCAGCGUGCGGGAUAACGGCCUGCGGGUUGUGAACCGCUUUGGCCUGUGACGAGGCGAGAGUGACGGUAAUGGGUAAAGAAGCACCGGCUAACUACGUG
This 468-nucleotide ribosomal RNA is filed under the name uncultured bacterium. RNAcentral's name for it is "partial 16S ribosomal RNA". It matches the Rfam family "Bacterial small subunit ribosomal RNA", at positions 28 to 507 of the family's 1533-position model. The record is from RNAcentral.